RNAcentral lists this ribosomal RNA (273 nucleotides) under uncultured prokaryote. RNAcentral's name for it is "partial 16S ribosomal RNA". The record is from RNAcentral.
CCCUAUGGGCGCACAAGCGGGGGUUGAGGGGCAGUAUGGCCCAGGCCGAGGCCGACGCCGCGCGCGGAGCGAUCGGCGACACGCGGCUGAUGUUGGCCGAGGCCGCCAAAAUGGCCUAUUUCGACUACUAUCUGGCCCGCCGCCGGUUGGAAGUGAACGACGAGACGGCCGAGCUGCUGGGGCAGUUUCGCCGGACCGCAAAGAACCGGUACGAAUCGAACCUGGCGACCGAGCAGGACGUGCUGCAGACGGACGUGGAAUUGGCGGGAGAGC